CAGCAGCUAGGAAUCUUGGGAAUGGGCGAAAGCCUGACCCAGCAACGCCGCGUGGGCGAUGAAGGCCUUAGGGGUCGUAAAGCCCUUUUUGCGGGGGGACGAUGAUGACGGUACCCCCGCGAAUUAAGCCACGGCUAACUACGUGCCAGCAGCCGCGGUAAUACGUAGGUGGCAAGCGUUGUCCGGAUUUACUGGGCGUAAAGGGCGCGCAGGCGGUCUGUUUUAGUCUAGGGUGAAAGCUCCCGGCUCAACUGGGAGAGGUCCUUGGAUACUGGCAGACUCGAGGGAGGCAGAGGAAAGUGGAAUUCCCGGUGUAGUGGUGAUAUGCGUAGAUAUCGGGAGGAACACCAGUGGCGAAGGCGGCUUUUCUGGGCCUUACCUGACGCUGAGGCGCGAAAGCGUGGGGAGCGAACCGGAUUAGAUACCCGGGUAGUCCACGCCGUAAACGAUGGACACUAGGUUGUGGGGGUAUCGACCCCCUCCGUGCCGCAGCUAACGACAAUAAGUGUCCCGCCUGGGGAGUACGGCCGCAAGGACUA
This 539-nucleotide ribosomal RNA is filed under the name uncultured bacterium. RNAcentral describes it as "bacterial SSU rRNA". It matches the Rfam family "Bacterial small subunit ribosomal RNA", at positions 349 to 897 of the family's 1533-position model. The record is from RNAcentral.